GUCACUCUAUGCCAAGACAUAAGUUUGUAUUAUAUUUCCAAAGGAAAAGACAAAUUUAACAAAUUUUAAUCAAUAACUAAUAGAAUUAAAAUGACAACCCACCACAAACAAUUUAUAUUUUUUUCUAGUCAAAUCUGACAAAAUUUCAUUGUACCAUAACAAGAACGACAACAAAUAAAAAAAUCAAGGAUAUGAAAUACUAGGAAAAGCGUAAAAUUAUUCCACAGUUCCAAAAUAUAUCGAAAUCUACAAUGAAAAAACUCAUGGACAACAAGAUUUAACGCAAGAACUCGUGACGUGUCAGUGCCGGCGAGGUUUCUCGCUGCCGCAAGCCGUCUUCUUCCGGGCUUCCACCUUCCUCCGGGCUUGUUCCACCAUCUUGUGAACGUACUCCAGGUCCUCAGUUGCCUCCGUUGGGGUGAGCCAGAACGAGAGGUCAUCUCCCUUCGGCGGCGACUGCUGCGUGACGAAGUGGUUCACCGCCGCUUGUUGGUUGGCAACGUCCCACUCCCCGAACACCUCCACACCACGGCGGAAGCGCUCGUCGUGGUCGUCCGAUUUCAGUGGCACGACAGCAGAAUUGGCGGCGGACGGCGAUGGUGGUCGUCUCGCCUUGGCCGGAAGGUGCGGCGGCGGCGGCGGGGCAGCCGGUCCUAAGACGGUAAGCCGCCUCGAAGAAGAACUCGGAGUGGCAGCUGCGUGAUUGUUGGCGUAAUAGGAGUGGUUGCUGUCUCCCGGUGAGCUGCCGCUGCCGGCGACCGAAUGUUGUUUGCCGCCGCUGUCACCGCCGAUGACGAACGAUGACGACGACGAUGAGUGCUUGACGCGGAUUGCCUUGCUCGAUGCAGGUAGAGCCACGAACGGUGAUGCCUUGUCGUCCUUGCUUGAUGAGCCACCGGCACCCGUCCUCUCUGCCGCCGGCGCGCGUCUCUGGCUGCGGUGCGCUCCGCCCGUGGGUGUGGCGAGCUCUGUGCCGCCGCGGUCAGCGUCGAUCGUCGACCAUGUCGCGGUGAGUUCUUGAGGAAGAAGAGCAUCUUUUGCAUCGUGCUUCCUCCGCUUCCGCUUGUGAUCACGGUGGCCUGUCACCAACGGCGGCAGCAGCGAGUGGUGAACAUAGUCGACAACUUUGUCGUCGCUUGCAGCCACGAGGCCCGAUGUUUCCUCCGGUGGCAUGGUGAUUGACUGGAGUCCGAUCGGAUGCGUGCACCCGCAGCCUUGGUCUUGGUUUAUUUAUAACAGCAAUUAAACGAAUCGGACUCAGAAUACGAGUUGUUGAGUACAGCGCGACGCUCAGCAUCCACCCAAAUCGGAGUAGGGCUGCCUUGCCGCCCCCACACCCUCAAGGCGUCACUCUCAGUAGCCGCCGCAUCCGGCCGCCGGUCCCGCUCCCGCGCGAGGGGGAGGAGAAGAUCACGGCGGCGGCGGCGUCUUCUGCCGGUUUGAGGUAGCUUUCCGUUCGUGUUUAAGCUAAAAUUGGUGCUGUUGAUUAAGAGGGGAAGAAGGUGCUGGCUCGUCAGAUUCAGCUGUGCUGCUCCGGCUCGGGUUUUCUUUUCUUUGAAAUGGAUAGUCAAAUUGCAGGAUUUGGGGACAUCAGCUGCCGCCAGGCUCCAUCAUGGACAAGGCGUUUCUGCGCCCUCCGCUCGCUCGUAAUCUGGUUUAUGACGAGUUUGCCGUUCUGCACCCCACAAGCUACCCUUUCCACACUCUUCGGUAUUUGAGAUGCAAUUCGAUGUAGGCUUUGUUCCCGAAAACCAAAAACUUUUCAAGAUUUUCCGUCACAUCAAAUCUUGGAACAUAUGCAUAAAGCAUUAGAUAUAGAUAAAAAUAAAAACUAAUUGCACAGUUUGUCUGUAAAUCACGAGAUGAAUCUUUUAAUCCUAAUUAAUCUAUGAUUGAAUAAUAUUUGUCAAAUAAAAAUAAAAAUACUACAGUGCCGAAAUCCGAAAAAAAUUUAGGAACUAAACAAGGCCGUAUUCAAGACCGCUGCUAACAACAUCACCACCUUCACCAUCAACGGUAUGCUCUUCCCGAAGCUGCAAGGCAUAACAGAAGGAACUUCUCUGAGUUUCAGAGUUGAUUUUUAGCUCCAAAAUUCACAUCAAGGGUAGCUUCACCAUCAAGGGUAUGCUCUUCCCGAAGAUGCGUGAGCUCGGCGGGAUGGGCAAACACGGCGUGAGCUUCCCGGCGACCGUGUGCGAGCAGACGACCUCAUCGCGCCGCUGCACUGUAGACCCGGCCCCCUACCGCCACCGACACUGAGCAGCACAUGGCCGACGCUGCCCCUGGAUCUCCAUCGUCGCACCGGUGCGACCGGCCAUCUCCGUUGGUUGGAACGGCAAGGCUCCAGGCACACCGGAUCUAGAGGGAGGGGAUUCGGUCCCGUCCCCAAUGUCGUUGUCGUAGUUUGUGGUUACUGCAUAGACUUUCUUCAAAAUUUUAAGAUCUUGUUUAGUUUCGAAUUUUUUUUAGAUUUCGGUACUAUAGUUUUUUCGUUUGUAUUUGAUAAUUAUUAUCUAACUAUAGACUAAGUAGGUUUAAAAGAUUCGUCUCAUAAAUUACAGACACACUAUGCAAUUAAUUUUUGUUUUCAUCUAUAUUUAGUGUUCCAUGUAUGUGCCGCAAGAUUCGAUGUGAAUCUUAAAAAGUUUUUAGAUUUUGGGGUGAUCUAAACAAGGC
RNAcentral lists this long non-coding RNA (2676 nucleotides) under Sorghum bicolor (sorghum). RNAcentral describes it as "long non-coding RNA (SBIC_LNC005943)". Lineage: Eukaryota; Viridiplantae; Streptophyta; Magnoliopsida; Poales; Poaceae. The record is from RNAcentral.